Molecule: transfer RNA, 73 nt
Filed under: Ovis aries (sheep)
Lineage: Eukaryota; Metazoa; Chordata; Mammalia; Artiodactyla; Bovidae
Rfam family: tRNA
About the family: Transfer RNA (tRNA) molecules are approximately 80 nucleotides in length. Their secondary structure includes four short double-helical elements and three loops (D, anti-codon, and T loops).
Source: Rfam by way of RNAcentral
UCCCUGGUGGUCCGGUGGUUAAGACUUCUUCCUUCCAAUGUAGGGGGUGCAGGUUCGAUCCCUGCUCGGGGAA